GUGGCUUUGUAUUCAACCACGGCCUGCCACCAAAUCACUGGUGACCUGGAGCAGUCCCUAACUGGAACUCUAAGUUACAGUUUCCUUAUCUGGAAAGUGGGGAUAAUCACAGCCCUGACCUCACAAGUGGCUGGAAGGACUCUGAGACGAUCUGUGUACAGUGCUUACCGCAGGAAGCGCCCAAUAAAUAUUAUUAUUAUUGUUGUGACGUCGAGCUGCUCAUGACACGCUUUAAGACCCUGGAGAAAUCAUCCAGUUCUUUGGAUGACGUCUCCCCUGAAACACCCACCCCUCCCGCUGUGAUACAAAUUAUAUCUUAUAUUUCAAGACUUCUUCAGUACAUCAGCAAACAUCUAUUGAGCACCACCGUGUUCCAUGCCUGCUACCAAGUCCUGGAGAUACAGCAGUGGACAAAACAGAAAGACAGUUAAAAGCCCUCUGUUCUCGUGGAGCCUGUAUUCUAGCUGAGGAGAAUCAGACAUUUGAGGUCAUUUCAGUAAGUGAGCAGGGCUCCAAAGGAAAUAAAGCAGAAGGUGCGAUGGAGAGAGCCUGGGAGGUCCCCUCUGAUGGGGUGACAUUUGAACAGAAGCCCCAACAAAGAGGAGAAGCCCACGUGCAAAGGCAGGGGGUGGGAAAUGGUGCUCCAGGCAGAGGGAACUGCAGGUGCUAAGGCCAGGCUGUGGGAUCCUCUCGUUGAAGGCUCAGCAAGGGCAGUGUGGCUGGAGCAGAGGGAGUGAGUGAGGGGGAGAGGGGUGGGAGGUGAGCUUAGUGGGGCCCCCACCCUGGAGCAGCUCUCCUAAUGCCAGGCUCUUCCUGAAAGUGGCCACCUGGUGCCUGACUUCUACCUGUAGGGACAGCCACCUGAGAAGGGCCCGGCUUCUUCCCACCCGGGGUGCCAAGGCCCUGGAGCUGCCUGCUCACAGUAAAAAGCCUCAUUCCCAGGAACCCCAUGGAAGGCCAGGCUCCCCCCGGCUGCCCUUUGCCCAGGCUGCUGCUGGGACUCCCCUGCCCCUCCCGAAGGAUGUGAGCCCUCCCUGCCUCUCAGCCACUCGGAGUGUGGGCAUCUGCAUCUCGGAGUCUCAGUGUGCCCACCUGUGAGAUGGGCACCAUGUUGCCUCAGGGAGGGAGUAAAAGGAGGAAAGGAGCUCUGGCCUUAGUAUCUGUCCCCUGAACCCUGGAAGAAGGAAAACAUCUGGGGCUCACUGGGGACCAGGCUGUGCGUUCAUAGCUGGGUGGAGAGCUCAGGCGUGUGUAUGUGCGUGUGUGCAUGUGUGUGCAUCUGUGUGUGUGUGCAUGUGUGUGUGUGCACGUAUGGGGUGUGGGAGACAGGGGGUGGCAUCAAGACCCAGGAGCCACAAGAGUGAGGAAGAGGGAAGAGGUGGGCUUCUGGGGACAGGGGGCAGUCAGAGCCUGGUUCUGGGCCCAAGUGGGGAUUGGGGCACGGGGAAUAAGAGGCCUGCCCUCCCUCCUGGGGGCCCAGCGGCAGCCAGGGAUCACUUCCUGGGAUGUUUUAAAAAUCAUUUACUUCUAGAAAAGUCUUUCAUCAUUUCCCUUCAGGUCACGGAGGCUGAGAUGGCUGACGGCGUAGGUGGCUGUGGCCUGAUGUGUCACUUUUGGCCUCCAACUGAGGCAACAGGGGGACGAAGUGGCUGCGAGGCGCAGUAUCUGGCAUAUAUGAGAGAAACAACCACAGUGCCCUGGGGAGGGGCCAGGUUCUCACCCCGCAUCGCCAGGGUCUCAACGUGUCUCCCAAAGGUCAUGUGGGCCUUUAAGAGGUGGUUGGGUCCUGAGAGCUCUGUCCUUAUGAAUGGAUUAGUGUCGUUAUUGCAGGAGUGGCUUCAUGAUGGAGAGAGUGGAUUUGUCAUGAAAGUGAGUUUGGCCAUUCCUUGCUGCUCACGUGCCACCUCUUGCCAUGGGAUGCCCUCGCCAUGGGAUGCCCUCGCCAUGGGAUGCCCUCUCCAUGGGAUGACAGCAAGAAGGCCCCUGCUUGAGUAAGCCCCUCCAUCUUCGGCUCUCUGGCCUCCAGGACUGUUAGAAAUACAUCUCUGUUCUUUGUAAAUUACCCAGGCUGUAGUAUUCUGUUAUGGCAACACAAAACAGACUAAGAUACCAUUAUGUGGAUGAAGAAACAGGCCCAAGAGGUGAGGAGUGUUGUCCAGGUCUUCUGGCCAGAGAAGCGGCAGAGAUGGGAUUUGAACCCUGGGACUGUGUGGCUUGUGACCACUCCUAGCUUCAGCCCUGCCUGGUGCUGAGGGGUUUGGGGCCAGGACGAUGGCCAGAUAUUUGGGCACACUGGGCCCUACCCACCUGGAAAGAGGCUGGCCUGGGGUUGAAUCAGAACCAGAAGUGACUCAGGCUAGGACCCCUCUGCACCCUCCCUCAGGCCGUGGGUAAUUACUUGCCCAGGUUAAUAGGGCCCACUUCCCGCCACCUUUCAUCAAGGCUCCUGGAGCUGCCAGGCAGUAAUUAACCCUCACAGCACCCUUCUGAAGUCAGCACUGGAGGCAGACGUGUGAUGAAACUCGUUUAUUACAGGAAGUACCAGUUGGCCCAGAUGCUUCUCAUCUUUAGAGUUGAGCUGCAGGCUGGAGACGUGGAAGGCCCUCGCAGCACCUGCUCCCAACCUCUCACCUCACGAAAGCGCAGGAACAUGGGUUUGGAGCCAAUGAAAAGUACUGGAAUCUGGCUCUGCUCUGUGAUCCUGGGCAAGUCACUGCCCCUCUCUGGGCUUCAGUUUCCUCCUUGGUAACACAGAAUGAUUAUACCUACCCCUUGGGUUUGUUGACCUGAAUCUACCCCUGAGUCAUUGCCUUUCCUUCUUGCUGCAGCCCCACUGGCCCCUUGACAGUUCCUUGAACACAACAAGCCCUUUCCCACCUCAGGGCCUUUGCACAUGCAGUGCCAGAUGCCUGGAAUGUCCUUCCUUCCAAUCUCCCCGUGGCCGGCUCAUUCUCAUCUUUCUUGCCUCAAAUGUUACCUCCCCAACCUAGACAGCACCCCUGCCACCUCUUCACCCCGUCUUACUCUUCUUCAAGCAUUUCUGGAGGUAUCUUGCUAUUUAUCUUGUUUGUAUCUUUUUCAGCUCCAUGAGGGCAGGGGAUUUUGUCUGUUUCAUUCACAAUGUGUUCCCAGAGCUCAGCACAGUGUCAGGCACACACUAGGUGCUUGAGAAACAAUUGCUUCCUCUACCUCUUCCCCUGCUAACCCUAAGUUCAGCUAACUGGCUAUGCGACCCUGGGGAUUGCUUUUCACCUCUCUGGUCCCUUAUUCUCCCUUGUGGACAAAGGAUGGCCUGGGCAUGAGUUUCUUCAAGGACUCAGGUAGCAAUGAAAUCCCUGGGACCCUAGCCUCAGUAUCUCCCCAGGCAAUGGGGUAGAGAGCAAGAAGGCAGGUGAGCGAGGACCAGCCUCCGCCGCGCAGACACCCUCUUUCCGGCUUCUCUGUCCUCCUACUUUGCCCUGGGUUUGUGGACUUACUCUGGGCAGAUCUCCACGACCAACCACCCCCUCCCUUGGCAUGUCUGUCAGCACCCUUGGGGGAAAGAAUUUGGAAAGGGGAGGGAGAAAAAGAAAGCAGGGUGCGAGGGGAUGGUUCCCACACCUGUGUAAAUAAUUUGUCAUCUUAAAAUGCUCAAGUAUGCUCACCUUUAAUGCCUGGUUCUUGGGCUUGUUUUCCUUGGCAAGGCCCCCACGGGAGUGGAAUUUCGGCCAAAGGGAGCCCAAUUGUCAUCUUCUAAGCAUGUUCCCAGGCCAGGGGCCAGGGAGGGCUCUGGCUGAUGCUCCACUUCCGUCCCCAGAAGUGCUGGAACGUUCCUGGGAUCUAGGGAGCAGCCUCCAGUCCUGGAAGCUGUCCCAGAAUUCUGGAAUGUUGGAAUUCAAACGGCCUCCUGCCCAUUUUCCGGAGGAGGAACAUGAGACCCAGAGAGAGGAAGGGGUUGGCCUGAGGUCAUACAAUGUGCAGAGACGAGCUAGAGUUUGCUGGGAGAAGGUGCGGGUGUGUGGACAAGUCAGCAUCUAUCUCCCAUUUUCAGGUAACAGCACCUCGACUUCCUACUGAAGAACCCCCUCUUCCCUUUUCUCAGUCCAUGAGGCUGGGGGUGCCCAGAGGCCUCUGUCUCCAGGGGUGGACAUGGGACCGGGUCUUGCUCUAGUGAUUGGUUCAGGGAUGGGCACAUGACUGAGCUUGCCCAAUGAAACUUGAUCCUGGGACUUUCGGGUUGGCCAUGAUUUGUGAAGGAGAUGCCAUUUUCCGUUGGAUGGACAGUGAGCAAGUGAACGCUUAGAGAAAAAGAGGACAAAACAAGGGAAAAGCCUGCCUGAGAGGAAGCAGCACAGAGCUGGACAGGAUUUGAACUCCUGGAUCCCACUGUACCUGAAAUUAGGCACCUUCAACUUUCUAGUUAUGUGAGCCACUGUCUUUCCCAUUUUUGGCUGAAAACAGUUGGGACUGGCUUUCUGUCCUUUGCGUACAGAAGGUGCUGACUGACCCCUGCCCCAUGGAAGAAGAUACUCCAGGCAGAGGAAAUAGUGUGUAUAGACACCCCAAAGCGAACGCCAAGCGGGGCACUCAUGUACCAAGGAGAAGAAGGAGGAGACACCUGGGUGCUGAGCUUAAGAGUUAGUCUGGUGGUCAAGAUGGGAAAGGGGGUAUCUUUAGCAGAGGGAACAACCAAUGCAAAAGCUUGGAGGGGUGACUAGUUAGUGAAGAUCAACUAUGUGCUGAGCUCGUGUUGGGUGGCAAGGGACACAGACGAAAAGGGCACAGUGGAACCCAGCUAUUCCUCACCUGCUCCAGCGCAGUGCAGGCUUGUCUGCUUUUGGAGCCGAGCCUGGACACCUCCGCGUCCUUCCCCUGGCAGAGUGCUGCCAGCACGCUGUCUCAGACUCUCCAGCAUCUCCUGGUUGAUGUACAUCACGGGGACCACACAAGAUUAUUUUAUAGGCUGCACAGGCAAAGCAUAAAAUCACCUCGGGUCACAUAGUGUGAGUUAUUCUCUCUGCAAAUUCUUUACAGUCUUUCCUUUAUAUCCAGAAGAGUCUCUGUGUGGUGCUAACUUGCCUCUAACACCAAAUACUUGCUAAUCUCCCUUUGUGAAAAAGAGAGCAGGUCUCAGGCUCAUUCAUGUCUCAGGCACACAAUUGUAUCUAGCUAGACUUUUUGAAAUGUCCAGUAGAGCUGCAGCACAUAUGAAUGAGGUGUCCAGCUGGUCCCAGGCCUGUAAUCGGCACCCCAGUGAGCAGACUGGACAUCCCCACCCCCACAGCUGCCCUCUCUCCCCUCCACUCAUGUUCCUUCUAGGGACACCACGAUCCCGACUUGUAUCACCACAGAUGAGUUUCACAUGUUUUUGAAUUUUACAUCUUAUCUGUUUUCUGUUUCUAUACAAGUUUGCCUUUUUUGAAUUCCAUAUAAGUGGAAUUCUACAAUGUGUUAUCUCAAUUUGAGUCUGUUUUAUUUUUUUUUCCUGCUCAGCAUGAUGCUUUUGAGAUGCAUAUAUGCAGUUUUGUGUAUCCGUAGAUGGUUCUUUUUUAUUGCAGAAUAAUGUUCCAGGGUAUGGAUGUACCAAAGCUUGUUCAUCCAUUCACCAGCUGAGGGAUAUUUGGACUGUUUCCAGUUCUCAGCCAUUAUAAAUAAAGCCACUAGGCACAUUUGCAAACAGGUUUUUAUGUGAACAAAAAUUUUUGUUUAUCUUGGGUAAAUUUCUAGGAGUGGAAUUGCUGGGCCAGGUGGCCAAGUGUAUGUUUCACUUUAUCAGAAACUGCUGAGCUGUUUUCUAAGGUGUCUGUACCAUUUUUCAUCCCUACCAGCAAUGUAUGAAAGUGUCAGUUGCUUCGUAUUCUCACCAACACUUGGUGGUGUUAGUUUUUUUUGUGUGUAUGUGUGUUUUACUUUUAGUCAUUCAAAUAGGUGAUAAUAGUAUCUCAUUGUGGUGUUAGUUUGCAUUUCCCUAAUGACUAAUGAUGUUGAACAUCUUUGUAUGUGUUUCUUUGCCAUCCAUAUAUUUUCUUUGGUGUAGUAUCUGUUCAAACUUUAUGUCAGUUAAACAAAAAACCCAAUUGUUUUCUUCUUAAUUGAUUUGGAGAGUUCUUUAUAUAUAUUCUGGAUACUAGUCAAGCCUUUGUCAAAUAUGUGAUUUGCAAAUAUUUUCUCCUGCUCUGUGGCUUGUCUUUUUAUUCUUUCAAUAGGUAGACUUUAAUAACAUCGUUUUGUUUUCUUUGUAAGUAUUUUUCUGGUUAUCUUUGAUUUGCGGCAUGUAUUCUUUGGUUUUUGAAUUUUAGUGAUAACACCAAAUGUUUUCUUUUAAAAUAAAUUUAUUUAAGUAAAAACGUCAGUAAA
Pongo pygmaeus (Bornean orangutan) is the source of this 6336-nucleotide long non-coding RNA. RefSeq lists it as uncharacterized. The transcript has 2 exons. The record is from RefSeq and is a predicted model, not a curated record. Lineage: Eukaryota; Metazoa; Chordata; Mammalia; Primates; Hominidae.